AUGUUCGAUCAACUAACAAUCACACAUGGCUUCCGGCAGCGAAUUGUUUGUGUUAGGCCACCUUGCACAAACGUUUCCACACAAAGAACUGUGUGUGAUAUACAUACCUACGAAAAUGUUUUUCUAGGAUUCACCGUGUGGGAUAUACAUACCUACGGAAAUGAUUUUCUGGGAUUCACCGUGUGGGAUGUACAUACCUACGGAAAUGAUUUUCUGGGAUUCACCGUGUGGGAUGUACAUACCUAUGGAAAUGAUUUUAUGGGAUUCACCGUGUGGGAUGUACAUACCUGCGGAAAUGAUUGGGUUUCGAUGCCUCGCCCGAUCGCAUACGGCCCCAGCCUGGGUCCCAGGAGGGCCUAUCCCCGACGAUUUUUGGGUCGUGUGGGAAGGACCCCCCUAUCGCCCACACUCACUUGGCGAUGGUUCCAAAUGCCGUCGCGGAAAGGGGUUAAAAACCGUUUGUUUAGCACGUCGCUGUACCAGUGA
Molecule: ribosomal RNA, 486 nt
Filed under: Triticum aestivum (bread wheat)
Lineage: Eukaryota; Viridiplantae; Streptophyta; Magnoliopsida; Poales; Poaceae
Description: partial small subunit ribosomal RNA
Source: RNAcentral